UAUUUUGAUUGUGCAAAGGUAGCAUAAUAAUUAGUUUUUUAAUUGAGAACUGGUAUGAAUGGUUGGACGAGAAAAAAACUGUCUCAAUUUAAUUUUAAUUAGAAUUUUAUUUUUAAGUUAAAAAGCUUAAAUAUAUUUAAAAGACGAGAAGACCCUAUAGAGUUUUAUAAAAUAUUUUAUUUUUAAUAAUUUUAGUAUUUUAUCAGUUAAUUAUAUAAUUUUUAUUUGAUUGGGGUGAUUAAAAAAUUAAAAUAACUUUUUUUAAGUAUUAACCAUUGAUUUAUGAAUAAUUGAUCC
This 297-nucleotide ribosomal RNA is filed under the name Neosisyphus spinipes. RNAcentral describes it as "partial 16S ribosomal RNA". The record is from RNAcentral. Lineage: Eukaryota; Metazoa; Arthropoda; Insecta; Coleoptera; Scarabaeidae.